UACGUAGGGUGCGAGCGUUGUCCGGAAUUAUUGGGCGUAAAGAGCUCGUAGGCGGUCUGUCGCGUCGAUCGUGAAAACUUGGGGCUUAACCCUGAGCUUGCGGUCGAUACGGGCAUGACUGGAGUUCGGCAGGGGAGACUGGAAUUCCUGGUGUAGCGGUGAAAUGCGCAGAUAUCAGGAGGAACACCGGUGGCGAAGGCGGGUCUCUGGGCCGAUACUGACGCUGAGGAGCGAAAGCGUGGGGAGCAAACAGG
RNAcentral lists this ribosomal RNA (254 nucleotides) under uncultured bacterium. Its description in RNAcentral is "partial 16S ribosomal RNA". It matches the Rfam family "Bacterial small subunit ribosomal RNA", at positions 524 to 776 of the family's 1533-position model. The record is from RNAcentral.